Siniperca chuatsi (mandarin fish) is the source of this 529-nucleotide long non-coding RNA. RefSeq lists it as uncharacterized. The record is from RefSeq and is a predicted model, not a curated record. The transcript is spliced from 5 exons. Lineage: Eukaryota; Metazoa; Chordata; Actinopteri; Centrarchiformes; Sinipercidae.
AAUACUGUUCCGUGUGAAGGAAAGAGUACUUCUGUCAGUUACCCGUUGCUAAGCACCGAAUUCCGAACGUAUGCUGUUGGGUAGCAACCUUACCUGCUGAUGGUGUACAGUAGAUGCACUGCACAGAAGGUGUUUCCAGGCAGCUCGGCCCAAGCAGUCAACAUUGCAUUUUAUUGAACAUUCCCUGAAUCAAAAGAGCAACUGGAUGACAAACCCUUCAAGAGAUACGUUGCGAACCCGGUGACCUUCUGGAUCUCAGAUAUGAAGCUCAAACUCCUGUUCCUGGCAGAACAGGAACUUAAGUUGGCUCGCUACAGCAGCUGGAGAUGAAUAAGAGAGGAACCCUGCUCAUGACAGGGGUUCUCCAAGCCAGAUGUGAAUCCAGGCAAAAGUCCACCCUCCUCUCCUCCUCCCUGCACUUCAUAGGAAUGAAGUGAGAUGCUAUGUGCUCCCUCCUGGUCUUCUUCCCUCGCAUUGGCCUUCCCUUCUGAGACAAGGCUAUGAACAUUUCUUUGCCAUUUUUAGUCCA